CUACGGGAGGCAGCAGUGGGGAAUAUUGCACAAUGGGCGCAAGCCUGAUGCAGCCAUGCCGCGUGUAUGAAGAAGGCCUUCGGGUUGUAAAGUACUUUCAGCGGGGAGGAAGGGAGUAAAGUUAAUACCUUUGCUCAUUGACGUUACCCGCAGAAGUAGCACCGGCUAACUCCGUGCCAGCAGCCGCGGUAAUACGGAGGGUGCAAGCGUUAAUCGGAAUUACUGGGCGUAAAGCGCACGCAGGCGGUUUGUUAAGUCAGAUGUGAAAUCCCCGGGCUCGACCUGGGAACUGCAUCUGAUACUGGCAAGCUUGAGUCUCGUAGAGGGGGGUAGAAUUCCAGGUGUAGCGGUGAAAUGCGUAGAGAUCUGGAGGAAUACCGGUGGCGAAGGCGGCCCCCUGGACGAAGACUGACGCUCAGGUGCGAAAGCGUGGGGAGCAAACAGGAUUAGAUACCCCUGUAGUC
RNAcentral lists this ribosomal RNA (464 nucleotides) under uncultured bacterium. RNAcentral describes it as "partial 16S ribosomal RNA". It matches the Rfam family "Bacterial small subunit ribosomal RNA", at positions 339 to 795 of the family's 1533-position model. The record is from RNAcentral.